Molecule: ribosomal RNA, 253 nt
Filed under: uncultured bacterium
Lineage: Bacteria
Description: partial 16S ribosomal RNA
Rfam family: Bacterial small subunit ribosomal RNA
Source: RNAcentral
UACAGAGGGUGCGAGCGUUGUCCGGAUUCACUGGGCGUAAAGGGCGCGUAGGUGGCGCUCCAAGUCCAUGGUGAAAGCUCGAUGCUCAACAUCGAGUCGGCCACGGAUACUGGGUUGCUCGAGCACUGUAGGGGCAGAUGGAAUUCCGGGUGUAGCGGUGGAAUGCGUAGAGAUCCGGAAGAACACCGGUGGCGAAGGCGGCCUGCUGGGCAGUUGCUGACACUGAGGCGCGACAGCGUGGGGAGCAAACAGG